GCAGUCGAGCGGUAGCACAGAGAAGCUUGCUUCUUGGGUGACGAGCGGCGGACGGGUGAGUAACGCGUGGGAAUCUACCUGGUAGUGGGGGACAACAGUCGGAAACGACUGCUAAUACCGCAUACGCCCUUUGGGGGAAAGUGGGGGAUCUUCGGACCUCACGCUAUCAGAAGAGCCCGCGUCGGAUUAGCUGGUUGGUGGGGUAAGAGCCCACCAAGGCGAUGAUCCGUAGCUGGUCUGAGAGGAUGACCAGCCACACUGGGACUGAGACACGGCCCAGACUCCUACGGGAGGCAGCAGUGGGGAAUAUUGGACAAUGGGGGCAACCCUGAUCCAGCCAUGCCGCGUGUGUGAAGAAGGCCUUCGGGUUGUAAAGCACUUUCAGCUGUGAGGAAAGGUGAGUGGUUAAUACCCGCUUGCUGUGACGUUAACAGCAGAAGAAGGACCGGCUAACUCCGUGCCAGCAGCCGCGGUAAUACGGAGGGUCCGAGCGUUAAUCGGAAUUACUGGGCGUAAAGCGCGCGUAGGUGGUUCAGUCAGUCAGAUGUGAAAGCCCCGGGCUCAACCUGGGAACUGCACCUGAUACUGCUGAGCUAGAGUACGGUAGAGGGCAGUGGAAUUUCCGGUGUAGCGGUGAAAUGCGUAGAGAUCGGAAGGAACACCAGUGGCGAAGGCGACUGCCUGGACCGAUACUGACACUGAGGUGCGAAAGCGUGGGUAGCAAACAGGAUUAGAUACCCUGGUAGUCCACGCUGUAAACGAUGUCAACUAGCCGUUGGA
RNAcentral lists this ribosomal RNA (780 nucleotides) under uncultured bacterium. RNAcentral describes it as "bacterial SSU rRNA". It matches the Rfam family "Bacterial small subunit ribosomal RNA", at positions 57 to 827 of the family's 1533-position model. The record is from RNAcentral.